UUGUCCACACUUCCAGGUAAAGGUGUCUGCACAUUUCCUGGUAAAGGUGUUUGAGCACUUCCCGGUAGUGGUGUCUGAAUGGGAGUUUGCAGUGGUGUAGGAGGGAAGAGUAUCUCAGCAGUAGGAGUCUCAUAUUCCUCCGUUCCCUCGUACGGUACAUUAAGGUCGUGUACUGGAGUAAUAGGACCGCCAGGUGCCAGCUUAGAAGCAGAUGACCUCUCUAUUGGACCGGAUAUCACACCCGCUUGCAUCAUUUUCAUCUCCCAAAUUGCUUGGAGUUCAUUGAGGACACUCUCGCCAGGCCCGCCGUUGUUGAUGAACUCAUCGCGGACUUUGGUGAUGACGUCUUCAAUAACGUGGAUAUAGACCGUGCUGGUGGUCGACGAUGUCGCCAUUUCGUCAAUUCUCUCCUCGGGGAAAUCUCUUUCGAUUGGACUAAUUAUUUCUUUUCCUUUAAUUCUAUCGGGAAAAUUCGAACAGAAAAUUAAAACCUCAGGGAAAAAGCUGAAGAAAGAGAUUGAUAGAGAAGGAAAGGCCAAAGGUUUGGGGGUGUGAGGGGGUGGGUCUGUGUACAGAAGGGAAGAGAACGGCGAGAAGGGAGAUGACAGAGAGAGAAGGUAGCGGAC
RNAcentral lists this unclassified non-coding RNA (626 nucleotides) under Hevea brasiliensis (rubber tree). Lineage: Eukaryota; Viridiplantae; Streptophyta; Magnoliopsida; Malpighiales; Euphorbiaceae. The record is from RNAcentral.